AUUACAGACUAACUAAAGUUGAAACACUGAAAAAGCAUGAUAGCACCCCUUUAAGGUUUUUUUUUAGCCUGAGAUUUUUUGUCCUUCUUUUGUAACCAUAUAAUUUGUCCUUUCUGGUGAUAUUUAUAAUAGGCACUCCACCACGCUGCUGUCGAACAAGAUGAUCAUUUUUGGUGGGAGAAAAACUGCCAUCUACCUCAAUGAUCUUCUCAUCCUGGAUCUUGGCUUCAUGGAAUACACUGCGGUAAAAUACAAGAACAUGCCACCACUGCCCGUGGGUUUCACGCUGCUGGGUCCGUGUCUGACAACAGGUUACAUGCACGGUUGAACUCCCUGUUUAGGAUCAGGGACUACAGGGUUUUUUCUUAGAAAUGAAUGUAUGGUACUUACAAAAAAUUGGAACUUGAAGCACUUUUAGCGUUCGUUUUUUAACAGUGCAUUGUUGCAGUUUUAGCGUGAACAGCUGUUUUACAGCUACCGUUUUUAUAAUGAUUUCCUUAAAAGCAAGCAAAGCCUUUACUCUCUCUCACAUGUAGUUCAGAUUUGUUAUUUAGUACAUUCAGAGAAUGCAUUUUUGUGCAAUAAAUGUUUUCUCUUAUUUUGCAUGCACAUGUUUUCACAAUUGUAUUUUUGUCCACUUUUUGUGUUUCACUCACACAUUUUCCUUGAAGU
Long non-coding RNA from Cyprinus carpio (common carp), 672 nucleotides. RefSeq lists it as uncharacterized. NCBI's taxonomy places the organism in Eukaryota, Metazoa, Chordata, Actinopteri, Cypriniformes, Cyprinidae. The transcript has 3 exons. The record is from RefSeq and is a predicted model, not a curated record.